Molecule: ribosomal RNA, 498 nt
Filed under: uncultured bacterium
Lineage: Bacteria
Description: bacterial SSU rRNA
Rfam family: Bacterial small subunit ribosomal RNA
Source: RNAcentral
GAUGAAUGCUGGCGGCGUGCCUAAUACAUGCAAGUCGAGCGGUAACAGGUUCUCACUGUUUACUUCUCUCGGUUCGGACAGGACGCGGGGAUUUUCCAAAGGAAAUCAGCCGCAUCUUUAGCGAAAAGAGGAAUGAGGAGUAAAGAGUGAGAAUGCUGACGAGCGGCGGACGGCUGAGUAACGCGUAGGAACAUGCCCCAAAGUGAGGGAUAACGCACCGAAAGGUGUGCUAAUACCGCAUAUGGUCUUCGGAUUAAAGGAUUUAUCCGCUUUGGGAUGGCCUGCGUACGAUUAGAUUGUUGGUGAGGUAACGGCUCACCAAGUCGACGAUCGUUAACUGGUCUGAGAGGAUGAUCAGUCAGACUGGAACUGAGACACGGUCCAGACUCCUACGGAGGCAGCAGUAAGGAAUCUUCCACAAUGGGCGAAAGCCUGAUGGAGCAACGCCGCGUGCAGGAUGAAGGCCCUCGGGUCGUAAACUGCUUUAUGAGUGAAGAA